Molecule: ribosomal RNA, 253 nt
Filed under: uncultured bacterium
Lineage: Bacteria
Description: partial 16S ribosomal RNA
Rfam family: Bacterial small subunit ribosomal RNA
Source: RNAcentral
UACGGAGGGUGCGAGCGUUGUCCGGAAUUACUGGGCGUAAAGGGCGCGUAGGCGGCCUGAUAAGUAGGGGGUGAAAUCCUGCGGCUUAACCGCAGGGCUGCCUUCUAAACUGUCAGGCUUGAGCACAGUAGAGGCAGGUGGAAUUCCCGGUGUAGCGGUGGAAUGCGUAGAGAUCGGGAAGAACAUCAGUGGCGAAGGCGGCCUGCUGGGCUGUUGCUGACGCUGAGGCGCGACAGCGUGGGGAGCAAACAGG